AUACAGAGGGUGCGAGCGUUAAUCGGAAUUACUGGGCGUAAAGCGCGCGUAGGCGGUUACGUAAGUCGGAUGUGAAAGCCCCGGGCUUAACCUGGGAAUUGCAUUCGAAACUGCGCGGCUAGAGUCUGAUAGAGGGAAGUGGAAUUUCCGGUGUAGAGGUGAAAUGCGUAGAUAUCGGAAGGAACAUCAGUGGCGAAGGCGGCUUCCUGGAUCAAGACUGACGCUCAGGCGCGAAAGCGUGGGGAGCAAACAGGAUUAGAAACCCCGGUAGUCC
This 274-nucleotide ribosomal RNA is filed under the name uncultured bacterium. Its description in RNAcentral is "partial 16S ribosomal RNA". It matches the Rfam family "Bacterial small subunit ribosomal RNA", at positions 523 to 796 of the family's 1533-position model. The record is from RNAcentral.